Ictidomys tridecemlineatus (thirteen-lined ground squirrel) is the source of this 72-nucleotide non-coding RNA. NCBI's taxonomy places the organism in Eukaryota, Metazoa, Chordata, Mammalia, Rodentia, Sciuridae. The record is from Rfam.
UGGGGCUGGGCUCAAUGGUAGAGCUCUUGCCUAGCAUGCAUGAGGCUCUGGGUUUGAUUCUCAGUACCGCAU